UGGGGAAUCAUGGUCAAUGGGCGAAAGCCUGAACCUGCGACGCCGCGUGAGUGAUGAAGGUCGUAAGAUCGUAAAACUCUUUUCAGGGAUCUUAAAGCCUGUCCGUCAACAACGGGCAGGUCUGACUCUCCCUGGAAGAAGCCCCAGCCAACUACGUGCCAGCAGCUGCGGUAAUACGUAGGGGGCGAGCGUUAUUCGGAAUUACUGGGUGUAAAGGGUAUGUAGGCGGCCCUUCAAGUCGCGAGUCAUAGUCCC
This 255-nucleotide ribosomal RNA is filed under the name uncultured prokaryote. RNAcentral describes it as "partial 16S ribosomal RNA". It matches the Rfam family "Bacterial small subunit ribosomal RNA", at positions 355 to 604 of the family's 1533-position model. The record is from RNAcentral.